AAUAACGACUCUCGGCAACGGAUAUCUAGGCUCUUGCAUCGAUGAAGAACGUAGCGAAAUGCGAUACUUGGUGUGAAUUGCAGAAUCCCGUGAACCAUCGAGUCUUUGAACGCAAGUUGCGCCCGAAGCCUUCUGGCCGAGGGCACGCCUGCCUGG
RNAcentral lists this ribosomal RNA (156 nucleotides) under Hypericum bupleuroides. Its description in RNAcentral is "5.8S ribosomal RNA". It matches the Rfam family "5.8S ribosomal RNA". From Rfam's summary of the family: 5.8S ribosomal RNA (5.8S rRNA) is a component of the large subunit of the eukaryotic ribosome. It is transcribed by RNA polymerase I as part of the 45S precursor that also contains 18S and 28S rRNA. RNAcentral also lists the same sequence under 1 other name. Lineage: Eukaryota; Viridiplantae; Streptophyta; Magnoliopsida; Malpighiales; Hypericaceae. The record is from RNAcentral.